CCUACGGGAGGCAGCAGUGGGGAAUUUUGGACAAUGGGCGAAAGCCUGAUCCAGCCAUUCCGCGUGAGUGAAGAAGGCCUUCGGGUUGUAAAGCUCUUUCGCAAGGGAAGAAAACUUACCAUCGAAUAAAUGGUGAGGCUGACGGUACCUUGAUAAGAAGCACCGGCUAACUACGUGCCAGCAGCCGCGGUAAUACGUAGGGUGCGAGCGUUAAUCGGAAUUACUGGGCGUAAAGCGUGCGCAGGCGGUUUUGUAAGUCAGAUGUGAAAUCCCCGAGCUCAACUUGGGAACUGCGUUUGAAACUACAAGACUAGAAUAUGUCAGAGGGGGGUAGAAUUCCACGUGUAGCAGUGAAAUGCGUAGAGAUGUGGAGGAAUACCAAUGGCGAAGGCAGCCCCCUGGGAUAAUAUUGACGCUCAUGCACGAAAGCGUGGGGAGCAAACAGGAUUAGAUACCCUGGUAGUCCACGCCCUAAACGAUGUCUACUAGUUGUUGGUGGAGUAAAAUCCAUGAGUAACGCAGCUAACGCGUGAAGUAGACCGCCUGGGGAUACGGUCGCAAGAUUAAAACUCAAAUGAAUUGACGG
RNAcentral lists this ribosomal RNA (586 nucleotides) under uncultured bacterium. Its description in RNAcentral is "bacterial SSU rRNA". It matches the Rfam family "Bacterial small subunit ribosomal RNA", at positions 338 to 916 of the family's 1533-position model. The record is from RNAcentral.